Molecule: non-coding RNA, 1390 nt
Organism: Ictidomys tridecemlineatus (thirteen-lined ground squirrel)
Lineage: Eukaryota; Metazoa; Chordata; Mammalia; Rodentia; Sciuridae
Source: RefSeq, a predicted model, not a curated record
AUUUAGGAACACUGAAAAUUUAUUUUGGGAUUCUCUGCAGUGAAGGUAAAACUAUGGAGUCUUUGGUGCUUACUUUUGGUAAGCCUUUCAAUAAGCAUCAGAUGACGAAUAAAGAAAAUGCAAACAUGUUAUUUGAAUGUUACUUUUAGGUUCCUUACAGAAAUCAACCAUCUGGUAUACAUAAGCGUUUAAGAAUAGUCUCUGAAACAGAUACUCACUACAUGAAUCACCCAUUAUAGUUUUUAAACAGGUUACUAUACCAAAAAGUGCGACAAAUGUUUCUUUAAAAAUGAACAAUCAGAUAUUCUGGAAGGGAAAAGAGAGUGGUUGAAGAAGUCAACCCAGAGGAAAUACGACUGUGCUGAGUUCUGAAGGUGAGCAGUAGCUGGACACCAGAUAUGCAGGAGAUGGAGGGCAUUGGAGGCAGGUACAAAUUCAUGGAGAAUAUGGGAAAAGAAGAGGUGAGCCUGUCCUUUCUCAAGGGACUGUCAUUAUAAUGGAAAAGCAGCAGGGUGCUUCUGAAAGCUCAGCCACAGUGGAUUGCUUCAGGAAUGGUCUCACUCCUGUUUCCUCUACACUGAAGGCAGCAAAGGGUUGUCUUCCCUGCUUAGUUACACCUGAAACCUUCUGGAACAGAUGAAUAAGCCUGGACAUUUUACAACUGUCAGCUGAUAUGACACCAGUGAAACUCCACAUGACCACCAGCAAAACUCUACAUCAUGUCCGACUGCAAGAAUGGGAACCUAAUUAAUAAAAGUUAUGAUUUCAUGUAUGUAUAAUAUGUCAAAAUACAUUUUAAUGUCAUGUAUAUUUAAAAAGAACAAAUAAAAAAGAAAUUAUUGCAUACAUUGGUUUAGAAAUAAUAGUGUCACUGUAUAAGAUUAUUAUAAUUCUUCAGUUUUAGGUUUCUUAUCUUGCCAGGCUCCUAAAAUUCAUUUAUCAUUCUUUUUGUUCAGAAUUGAAUCUUUAGUCAGUUUUAGUGGUAUUUCUGUGACUUCUGAGCAGAAUCAGAGCCCAUAGAAAAUGCAAUCAGAGUGUGCACCUAUGUGGAAGAUGUGUGCUACUUCCAAAGAGAAAGGUCAGCUUGCUAAUUUUCACAUUUUUAUUAACCUAUCAUAUGUUAAGACUGUGAAUUAAAUGUCACCUCUUCAUUAUGGGGCUUUUGUAGUCUCACUAUUUUAAUGUAUAUCUGCACAACUCAUCAAUACAGCGUUCUUUGUUUAAUUACUUAGCUGUGAAAUAAAGCGAAAAGAGAAGACAAAGGUCUCUCCUGGAACACAGAUUAUCAUUUAUAAAGAUUUAAAUAAUCACAAGCUUCACAUGUUUUCCAUCCAAUUUAUUUUGCGCCACAAGAUAAGACAAGGUAUGCAAUGGCUAAGUCCUGUGUUAC